This 375-nucleotide ribosomal RNA is filed under the name uncultured bacterium. Its description in RNAcentral is "bacterial SSU rRNA". It matches the Rfam family "Bacterial small subunit ribosomal RNA", at positions 524 to 898 of the family's 1533-position model. The record is from RNAcentral.
UACGGAGGGUGCAAGCGUUAAUCGGAAUUACUGGGCGUAAAGCGCACGCAGGCGGUCUGUCAAGUCGGAUGUGAAAUCCCCGGGCUCAACCUGGGAACUGCAUUCGAAACUGGCAGGCUAGAGUCUUGUAGAGGGGGGUAGAAUUCCAGGUGUAGCGGUGAAAUGCGUAGAGAUCUGGAGGAAUACCGGUGGCGAAGGCGGCCCCCUGGACCAAGACUGACGCUCAGGUGCGAAAGCGUGGGGAGCAAACAGGAUUAGAUACCCUGGUAGUCCACGCCGUAAAAGAUGUCGAUUUGGAGGUUGUGGCCUUGAGGCGUGGCUUCCGGAGCGAACGCGUUAAAUCGACCGCCUGGGGAGUACGGCCGCAAGGUUAAA